This 478-nucleotide ribosomal RNA is filed under the name uncultured bacterium. Its description in RNAcentral is "partial 16S ribosomal RNA". It matches the Rfam family "Bacterial small subunit ribosomal RNA", at positions 28 to 507 of the family's 1533-position model. The record is from RNAcentral.
GAUGAACGCUGGCGGCGUGCUUAACACAUGCAAGUCGAGCGGGAAACCUUUUAAUGAAGCUUCGGCAGAUUUAGCUGGUUUCUAGUGGCGGACGGGUGAGUAACGCGUGGGUAACCUGCCUUAUACAGGGGGAUAACAGUCAGAAAUGACUGCUAAUACCGCAUAAGCGCACAGGACCGCAUGGUCCGGUGUGAAAAACUCCGGUGGUAUAAGAUGGACCCGCGUUGGAUUAGCUUGUUGGUGGGGUAACGGCUCACCAAGGCGACGAUCCAUAGCCGGCCUGAGAGGGUGAACGGCCACAUUGGGACUGAGACACGGCCCAGACUCCUACGGGAGGCAGCAGUGGGGAAUAUUGCACAAUGGGGGAAACCCUGAUGCAGCGACGCCGCGUGAAGGAAGAAGUAUCUCGGUAUGUAAACUUCUAUCAGCAGGGAAGAUAGUGACGGUACCUGACUAAGAAGCCCCGGCUAACUACGUG